This 3078-nucleotide long non-coding RNA is filed under the name Citrus sinensis (sweet orange). RNAcentral describes it as "long non-coding RNA (CSIN_LNC001962)". Lineage: Eukaryota; Viridiplantae; Streptophyta; Magnoliopsida; Sapindales; Rutaceae. The record is from RNAcentral.
GCCAUAAAAUUGACCCAAAAGGCAAGUCGGCUAUAAUCAGUUUAGAUUUAGACGUAGUGUAAUUAGAGGAACUAAUAAAGAAAGGCUGCUACUAAUCUCAAGCAAACAGAAGAGAGAACACAUGAUCCACCAUUCCUUCCAACUUAUUCAACUUAUUCUCCUAAUCUUCGCCGUGUUGUCCUCUCCUUGACAUUGGAUGAAUUUUUCAUCCGCCCCGCAUGAUGUUUCUGUGAAGAUCCAGAUCCAUCCAAUGCCACUCUCCCUGAGUUCUGUGAUUGCUCCACUGAAGGAAGUGCCCAACCUCCACGACCUGCCUGAUGAUUCUGUCCACCACUAACGGAUCCUGAGAUCCCAAAAAAAAUUAUCAACUUACAUAUCCCAGAUCAAGCCCCAAUAUAUACUAUUGGCUUGCCAUAAAGAAUUGCUGAAUGCAUCAAAUGUCACUUCACAUAUUACAUUAUCCAAACUACAUUAAAAGCACUAAGGAAUCCCUAGACGAACAACUGAAUAUUUUUAUGAGACAAAUAAAAUGGCCAACCUUAAAAAAAAAAAAAGCUAAGUCAGAACUCAACCUCCCACAUUCAUAGGUUAAAUCCACGUGUUUCAACCUAAAUUUUCUAGUCCUGCAUAACAUGACAUGUAUUCAUUACAUGGAGAUUUUGCCAUCAGAAAUGUCCGUAUCAACAAAAUUGUCACUUCAACUGAGAAAAGCAACCCAAGGAUUGCCAAAUGCAAGUACCAUAAUUGCAAAACUAUAUUCAUAUCAAGGACUUAGAACUACAUUCACAAGAAAUAACUGGAUCACAAAAUGCAAUCGCAUUUGCAGAUCAUUUCCUAGAAUAGCUAUCACCAUUGAAUCAUUUAAGGUGACUCACGAUUUAUUAUAAACACAUUUACUUGUUAUCUCAUUGAAACCAAGCAGACUAAAUAUUUCAACAAUCACAGAGAAUACUUGCAUAUUUCUCAUGAAGAAUCACACUCUAAUUCCAAGACAACCCAAAAGAUCUCUCAUAUGGCCAACAGUAGCCGACAAAAUUAAAAUAGCGUAUUCUAGGCCACAAAAACAUACCCAUUUCAUUAUGGCCAAUAAAACUACCAGUCCAACCAGGCAGGACCUUUCUGGCAUUUCCAUUCCAAGCUUCUUCAAAACCAUCAAGCUCAUCUGCAGGUUCAACCAUUAAAAUCUUAUUUAGUCAAUGAUGUUAAAAAUCCAAAAAUACAAGCGGACGGCCAACCAGAGCAUAAAUAAGCAUAUCAGAUAUCCACUGCUGCAGAUAAGGUCUACACCCGCAAAUUGCAACACAGGAAAUACAAACCAUAAAUAUAAUCGUACAUACCUUCAUCUAGAUUGUGCAAAGUCUGCAUUGUAUCCACCUUACCAUCAGAAUUUAGGUUCCUUGCAACAGAAUGGCCCUAUGAAAUAUAUUUCCAGAAUAGAAUCAAUAAUCAUACAUCAUGCAUAAAUUGAACACAAAAUAGCUCAAAUUAGCCAUAAAUACAACAGCAAGAACCCAAAACAGGACCACUGAAAAGACUAUCCAACAUAUACCUUGUUGUGGAGCCCCCUUGAAACUCGGUGUGAUGCUUGCCUUGUAGAAGUAUCAGCUUCUUUGCUUUCUUCAAAAGUUACCUGUUACACACAUCGUCAAUUUUUUUUAAUUAAAAAAGAAUUGACAGAAAGUAAUCCACUUCAUCAUCAUCCUUUGAGGUAACUUACACCAUCACUUCCUGUCCUCCUUGUCUUUGAGGAAGUAUAAUAAGCACCAUUAGCACCACCGUAACUGACAGUAGAGCUAGAAAAGGUGUAACUGUGAGUUUGGGGUUGAUGCUGUGCAACAUUGUAUCGGCUAUAGUCAUUCCUGUGUUGUAGAUGUUUGUUCUUCCUCUCUGGAGAAAAAGGAAAAAAGAUAUUAUCCCUCCAGACUCAAAACAAUAAUCAUUGCACCCCUCAAUUUUUUUUUUUUUUUUAAAAAAAAAAGCCAUAACGCCAAAACAAAGGACACACUUCACCUUCAACCUCAUCCUCAGGACGCUCAACAACAGGCCCAUUGCUAGACCUACCAUGCUUCCUAGAAUUAUCAUUUUUCUCUUCAGCUGCUUGUUCUUUUUCAUCAUCCGAGUUCAAUUCUUCAAUAAUUGGCCCCCUUGACCUUUUAGGCUGCGGAGGUUGAUUCUCAAUAAAAGCAUUUUGAUGCAUAUUGGCAAAAGGACUUCCAGUAGGAGGACCGAAAAAGCUUGACUCAAACAUGCCCCCACUGAAAGGGCGUGUGAAGAAAGGGUCAUCAAACGGGUCCCUUCCGCCAAAGAAACUAGACAUUAAACUCCUGCCACCACCAAAGCCCCCAAAACCAGCAAAAGGGUCACCAAAAUCAGAGAAAGGAUCCCUGCCUCCUCUUCCUCUCUGCAUCUGGCCAAAGCUAAAACCCUAGAAACUAACAAAACCCCACAAAACUAGGAUCAGCACACCAUGAAGAUCAUUCACAAAAAUGUAUAAAUCUACUAAAAAUCAGCAUAACAUGGAUCAAUAGAAACACAAUAGCCAGAAACGGUAAAAUCUGACAUGCCUACUCAUGAGAAACAUACCAAAAGAAACAAGCCCACAUCUACGUGAUCCUUACUAAAAGAAACAAAAACAUUUACCAGAAACAAACAAACGUCUACAAUAAUACCACAAUUCACAAUUAAUUAUUCUCGUUAAGCUCCCAAACCCUACACCAGAAACCCUAAUGCCACCACAGCAAGACACAAAACUAACAAUAACACGAUCCAAAAGGCAUACAGACGAAAAAUCAAAGAAAAAACCUCUUCAAUAUCAUACUUUUUAAGUGGAAAACAAUCAUAAUUUUGAACCACUUAUUCAAACAAUCACAACAUAAGACUCAAGGACCCCACAACAUAAGACUCAAGGACCCCCCACACUUUUUAAGUGGAAAACAAUCAUAAUUUUGAACCACUUAUUCAAACAAUCACAACAUAAGACUCAAGGACCCCCCACAAAAAAAAAAAAACCGAUGCUUUAAAGAGAGGGACAUUACCUGAUAGUAAUCGAGAGAUGGCAAGAAUACCAACAGAAACUCG